GAACGAACGCUGGCGGCGCGCCUAAUACAUGCAAGUCGAGCGAGAAGGUGUAGCAAUACACUUGUAAAGCGGCGAACGGGUGAGGAAUACAUGGGUAACCUACCCUCGAGUGGGGGAAUAACUAGCCGAAAGGUUAGCUAAUACCGCAUACGAUUCCAGGACUUCGGUGCUGGAAGGAAAGCACUACCGUGGGUAGUGCGCUCCUGGAUGGGCUCAUGUCCUAUCAGCCUUGUUGGUGAGGUAAUGGCUCACCAAGGCUUCGACGGGUAGCUGGUCUGAGAGGACGAUCAGCCACACUGGCACUGCGACACGGGCCAG
RNAcentral lists this ribosomal RNA (318 nucleotides) under uncultured bacterium. RNAcentral describes it as "bacterial SSU rRNA". It matches the Rfam family "Bacterial small subunit ribosomal RNA", at positions 27 to 334 of the family's 1533-position model. The record is from RNAcentral.